UACGGGGGGGGUAAGCGUUGUUCGGAAUUACUGGGCGUAAAGGGCUCGUAGGCGGCCAACUAAGUCGGACGUGAAAUCCCUCAGCUUAACUGGGGAACUGCGUCCGAUACUGGAUGGCUUGGAUUUGGGAGAGGGAUGCGGAAUUCCAGGUGUAGCGGUGAAAUGCGUAGAGAUGUGGAGGAACACCGAUGGCGAAGGCAGCCUCCUGGGCCAGCACUGACGCUCAUGCACGAAAGCGUGGGGAGCAAACAGG
Molecule: ribosomal RNA, 253 nt
Filed under: uncultured bacterium
Lineage: Bacteria
Description: partial 16S ribosomal RNA
Rfam family: Bacterial small subunit ribosomal RNA
Source: RNAcentral